CGUUUGGGGUCUUUAUGGGGUGGGAUAUUUGGGUUCCUGUGGGGUGCGACGUUUCUGUCGUUAUGGGACGUUUGGGGACGUUAUGGGGUGGCGUGGGAUGUUACGGGAACUUAUGGGGUGGGGUAUUUAGGGUCCUUAUGGGGUGGGACUGGUGUGACCCCAAAAGUGGGACAGCGGAGUCCCCAUGGGAUGGGACAUUUAGGGUCCUUAUGGGAUGGGACAUUUAGGGUCCUUAAGGGGUGGGACCUUUGGGUUCCUAUGGGAUUGGAACAUUUCUGCCCUUAUGGGACAUUUACGGACAUUAUGGGAUAGGAUGGAAUGUUUUGGGACCUUAUGGGAUGGGACAUUUGGGGUCCUUAUGGGGUGGGACGUUUGGGGUCCCUAUGGGAUGGGACAGAUGGGACCCCAAAAGUGGGACAGCUGGGACCCCAUGGGGUGGGACAUUUGGGGUCCCUAUGGGGUGGGACAUUUAGGGUCCCCAUGGAAUGGGACAUUUGGGGUCCUUAUGGGAUGGGACAUUUCUGUCCUUAUGGGACAUUUGGGGACAUUAUGGGAUGGGGUGGAAUGUUUCAGGACCUUAUGGGAUGGGACAUUUGGGGUCCUUAUGGGGUGGGACGUUUGGGGUUCUUAUGAAAUGGGACAGCUGGAACCCCAAAAGUGGGACAGCUGGGACCCCGUGGGGUGGGACAUUUGGGGUCUGUAUGGGAUGGGACAUUUAGGGUCCCCAUGGGAUGGGAUAUUUGGGUCCUUAUGGGAUGGGAUAUUUGGGGUUCUCAUGGGGUGGGACAGCUGGGACCCUAUGGGGUGGGACAUUUGGGGUCUGUAUGGGGUGGGAUAUUUGGGGUGCCCUUGGGAUGAAACAUUUGGGAUCCUUAUGGGGUGGGACAUUUGGGGUCUUUAUGGGGUAUGAAACAGCUGGGACCCCAAAGGAGAGACAGCUGGGACCCUAUGGGGUGGGACACUUGGGGUCCUUAUGGGGUGGGACAUUUGGGAUCCCAAAAGUAGGACAGGUGGGACCCCAUAAGUGGGAUAUUUGGGGUCCCCAUGGGAUGGGACAUUUGGGGUCCCCAUGGGGUGGGACAGCUGGGAUCCCAAAAGUGGGACAGCUGGGACUCCAUGGGGUGGGACAUUUAGGGUCCUUAUGGAGUGGGAUAUUAAGGGUCCUUACGGGGUGGGACAUUUGGGGUCCCCAUGGUAUGAGACAGCUGGGACCCCAAAGGUGGGACAGCUGGGACCCUAUGGGGUGGGAUAUUUGGGGUCCUUAUGGGAUGGGACAGCUGGGA
This 1283-nucleotide long non-coding RNA is filed under the name Phasianus colchicus (ring-necked pheasant). Its description in RNAcentral is "lncRNA (ENSPCLG00000014218.1)". The record is from RNAcentral. Lineage: Eukaryota; Metazoa; Chordata; Aves; Galliformes; Phasianidae.